RNAcentral lists this long non-coding RNA (278 nucleotides) under Medicago truncatula (barrel medic). Its description in RNAcentral is "long non-coding RNA (MTRU_LNC003007)". The record is from RNAcentral. Lineage: Eukaryota; Viridiplantae; Streptophyta; Magnoliopsida; Fabales; Fabaceae.
AAGAUCUUGGUGGAGAAAUGAAGGCUUUGAUCUUUAACUGUGAUUGUGGUGAUGCAGUACGAUCAUAUUCUUCGAUUAGAUUGAUGAGAUCUUCGUCGGAGGUGAUGGAAACCAAAGCGUCGAGGUCUUCAGCAGGUAACUGACAGCGAAGUUGCGUUACGGAUGAACUGCAGAGCUCUUUCAGCUUCAAUAACAGUUCUGUAACAAAAACAGCUUCAAAAUCAAUUUCAAAUUGAACUAAUUAUUGUAACUAACUAUUACAUCUAAUAAUACUGACC